AACGAACGCUGGCGGCGUGCCUAACACAUGCAAGUCGAACGAUACCUGCGGGUCUAGUGGCGCACGGGUGCGUAACGGGUAAGGAGUUGCUCUUAGGUUCGGAAUCUCUCCCCUACAUGGGUGCUACUACCGGAUAGUGUCUUUGGUCCGAAGUAUUCUCGCUUUUGGGUGUGCUGGGGGUGGGUUAGAUAGUUGGUAGGGUAGAAGUCUACGAAGGCGACGAUCCAUGGCUGGCCUGAGAGGGUGAUAGGGCACACUGGGACUGGGACACGACCAUUGCUCCUACGGGAGGAAGGAGUGGAGAAUAGUGGACGAGGGGCGAAGGCCUGAUCCAGCACUGCCGGGUGAUUAAUGAAGGCCGUAGGGUUGUAAAGCUCUUUUACUCGGGAUGAGAAUAACAGUACCGGGAGAAUAAGCUCCGGCUAACUCCGG
Molecule: ribosomal RNA, 432 nt
Filed under: uncultured bacterium
Lineage: Bacteria
Description: partial 16S ribosomal RNA
Rfam family: Bacterial small subunit ribosomal RNA
Source: RNAcentral